GAGCGGCGGACGGGUGAGUAAUGCCUAGGAAAUUGCCCUGAUGUGGGGGAUAACCAUUGGAAACGAUGGCUAAUACCGCAUAAUGCCUACGGGCCAAAGAGGGGGACCUUCGGGCCUCUCGCGUCAGGAUAUGCCUAGGUGGGAUUAGCUAGUUGGUGAGGUAAGGGCUCACCAAGGCGACGAUCCCUAGCUGGUCUGAGAGGAUGAUCAGCCACACUGGAACUGAGACACGGUCCAGACUCCUACGGGAGGCAGCAGUGGGGAAUAUUGCACAAUGGGCGCAAGCCUGAUGCAGCCAUGCCGCGUGUGUGAAGAAGGCCUUCGGGUUGUAAAGCACUUUCAGUCGUGAGGAAGGUAGUGUAGUUAAUAGCUGCAUUAUUUGACGUUAGCGACAGAAGAAGCACCGGCUAACUCCGUGCCAGCAGCCGCGGUAAUACGGAGGGUGCGAGCGUUAAUCGGAAUUACUGGGCGUAAAGCGCAUGCAGGUGG
This 489-nucleotide ribosomal RNA is filed under the name Vibrio sp. Its description in RNAcentral is "bacterial SSU rRNA". It matches the Rfam family "Bacterial small subunit ribosomal RNA", at positions 93 to 578 of the family's 1533-position model. The record is from RNAcentral. Lineage: Bacteria; Pseudomonadati; Pseudomonadota; Gammaproteobacteria; Vibrionales; Vibrionaceae.